Molecule: unclassified non-coding RNA, 307 nt
Filed under: uncultured fungus
Lineage: Eukaryota; Fungi
Description: partial contains small subunit ribosomal RNA, internal transcribed spacer 1, and 5.8S ribosomal RNA
Rfam family: Eukaryotic small subunit ribosomal RNA (bases 1-73)
Source: RNAcentral
GCAAACUUGGUCAUUUAGAGGAAGUAAAAGUCGUAACAAGGUCUCCGUUGGUGAACCAGCGGAGGGAUCAUUACCGAGUUCAUGCCCGCAAGGGUAGAUCUCCCAACCCUGCUUACUUACUUUGUUGCUUUGGCAGGCCGCGCCGCCGUGCUCGCACGGUGGCCUACCGGCCCUCUUCGGAGGGCGGGUAUGCGCCCGCCAGAGUCAUCAACCAAAUCUGUUAUAACAUAACGUCUGAGUGAAAACUUAAUAUAUCAAAACUUUCAACAAAGGAUCUCUUGGUUCCGGCAUCGAUGAAGAACGCAGC